Molecule: long non-coding RNA, 790 nt
Organism: Raphanus sativus (radish)
Lineage: Eukaryota; Viridiplantae; Streptophyta; Magnoliopsida; Brassicales; Brassicaceae
Exons: 2
Source: RefSeq, a predicted model, not a curated record
UUCUUUCUCUAUCUCUUUCUUAAUUUAUUUUUUCCCUUUGUUAUAGUUGCAGACUUUUUAUAGAAGACGACGGAGAAGAAAUUGAGCAUUGAUUCAUCGAUCGUUGACAGCAGAACAAAUGAUAUUGUCGAUGUAGAGGUGUUACGUGACGAUGGCUCCAAUAAUGUUGGCGGUUGCUCUGUAGCCGGAGACUGUGAUUUUGAUUCUUUCUCUCUAAAGUUUUUCAGCUGUUCAGGCACCUUAGCCUCUGUGUGUGUAUUAUGGGUGUCAGAUUUUGUAUCAUUAGACAAAAAGACAUGUGCUUUCUUCUAUGGCGUUUCCUCCUAUGUUUCCAAUCUUCUCCAUAACCUUUCUUCGCCGUAUAUGUCAAUUCUCCACCAUCUCAGUCACCGCUCCGCCGUCUCUACCAACAUUCUCCAGCAUCUCUGCCACAAUUCUAGUUUACAUCCUUUGGUUUGUCCAGAGUCGGAAUUCAAACCGUACCCGUCACAAUGAAGAAAUGGCCAUCCAAGAAAGGAGAUAGAGAUGAUGCACAAUAAUCUUUUCCUCAUACUUUACAAGACCUGUAAGUUAACAAGAUGUACACAUGUUUCAUGACAGGCCAUCAAAGAAAGGAGAUAGAGCUUUUAGUUUAUGUAAGAAACUUGGGUUAGUUAACAAGAUGUACACAUGUUUCAUGACAUACAGGAUCAUGUACUUGUACACAAUGAGGCUGGUGUACACAUGAACAUCACCUAAGGUUGACAUGUUUUAAAACUUAACAAGAGUGGCCUUACUCAUAUAGAAAACA